GUCGACCGUGAACCGCCAAGGGCGAAGCGGCCCAAGGUAUGAUUCAUGAUUGGGGUG
This 57-nucleotide ribosomal RNA is filed under the name uncultured bacterium. RNAcentral describes it as "partial 16S ribosomal RNA". The record is from RNAcentral.